AUGAACGCUGGCGGCGUGCCUAAUACAUGCAAGUCGAGCGAACAGAUGAGGAGCUUGCUCCUCUGACGUUAGCGGCGGACGGGUGAGUAACACGUGGAUAACCUACCUAUAAGACUGGGAUAACUUCGGGAAACCGGAGCUAAUACCGGAUAAUAUAUUGAACCGCAUGGUUCAAUAGUGAAAGACGGUUUUGCUGUCACUUAUAGAUGGAUCCGCGCCGCAUUAGCUAGUUGGUAGGGUAACGGCUUACCAAGGCGACGAUGCGUAGCCGACCUGAGAGGGUGAUCGGCCACACUGGAACUGAGACACGGUCCAGACUCCUACGGGAGGCAGCAGUAGGGAAUCUUCCGCAAUGGGCGAAAGCCUGACGGAGCAACGCCGCGUGAGUGAUGAAGGUCUUCGGAUCGUAAAACUCUGUUAUUAGGGAAGAACAAAUGUGUAAGUAACUAUGCACGUCUUGACGGUACCUAAUCAGAAAGCCACGGCUAACUACGUG
RNAcentral lists this ribosomal RNA (496 nucleotides) under uncultured bacterium. RNAcentral describes it as "partial 16S ribosomal RNA". It matches the Rfam family "Bacterial small subunit ribosomal RNA", at positions 29 to 507 of the family's 1533-position model. The record is from RNAcentral.